RNAcentral lists this ribosomal RNA (1139 nucleotides) under Staphylococcus pseudintermedius. RNAcentral describes it as "partial 23S ribosomal RNA". It matches the Rfam family "Bacterial large subunit ribosomal RNA", at positions 402 to 1546 of the family's 2925-position model. Lineage: Bacteria; Bacillati; Bacillota; Bacilli; Caryophanales; Staphylococcaceae. The record is from RNAcentral.
UGGAUCCUGAGUACGACGGAGCACGUGAAAUUCCGUCGGAAUCUGGGAGGACCAUCUCCUAAGGCUAAAUACUCUCUAGUGACCGAUAGUGAACCAGUACCGUGAGGGAAAGGUGAAAAGUACCCCGGAAGGGGAGUGAAAGAGAACUUGAAACCGUGUGCUUACAAGUAGUCAGAGCCCGUUAAUGGGUGAUGGCGUGCCUUUUGUAGAAUGAACCGGCGAGUUACGAUCUGAUGCAAGGUUAAGCAGAAAAUGUGGAGCCGUAGCGAAAGCGAGUCUGAAUAGGGCGAAUGAGUAUUUGGUCGUAGACCCGAAACCAGGUGAUCUACCCUUGGUCAGGUUGAAGUUCAGGUAACACUGAAUGGAGGACCGAACCGACUUACGUUGAAAAGUGAGCGGAUGAACUGAGGGUAGCGGAGAAAUUCCAAUCGAACUUGGAGAUAGCUGGUUCUCUCCGAAAUAGCUUUAGGGCUAGCCUCAAGUGAUGAUUAUUGGAGGUAGAGCACUGUUUGGACGAGGGGCCCCUCUCGGGUUACCGAAUUCAGACAAACUCCGAAUGCCAAAUAAUUUAACUUGGGAGUCAGAAUGUGGGUGAUAAGGUCCAUAUUCGAAAGGGAAACAGCCCAGACCACCAGCUAAGGUCCCAAAAUAUAUGUUAAGUGGAAAAGGAUGUGGCGUUGCCCAGACAACUAGGAUGUUGGCUUAGAAGCAGCCAUCAUUUAAAGAGUGCGUAAUAGCUCACUAGUCGAGUGACACUGCGCCGAAAAUGUACCGGGGCUAAACAUAUUACCGAAGCUGUGGAUUGUCCUUUGGACAAUGGUAGGAGAGCGUUCUAAGGGCGUUGAAGCAUGAUCGCAAGGACAUGUGGAGCGCUUAGAAGUGAGAAUGCCGGUGUGAGUAGCGAAAGACGGGUGAGAAUCCCGUCCACCGAUUGACUAAGGUUUCCAGAGGAAGGCUCGUCCGCUCUGGGUUAGUCGGGUCCUAAGCUGAGGCCGACAGGCGUAGGCGAUGGAUAACAGGUUGAUAUUCCUGUACCACCAUUAUUCGUUUUAAGCGAUGGGGGGACGCAGUAGGAUAGGCGAAGCGUGCUGUUGGAGUGCACGUCCAAGCAGUGAGAUUGAGUGUUAGGCAAAUCCGGC